RNAcentral lists this ribosomal RNA (496 nucleotides) under uncultured bacterium. Its description in RNAcentral is "partial 16S ribosomal RNA". It matches the Rfam family "Bacterial small subunit ribosomal RNA", at positions 29 to 507 of the family's 1533-position model. The record is from RNAcentral.
AUGAACGCUGGCGGCGUGCCUAAUACAUGCCAGUCGAGCGAACAGACGAGGAGCUUGCUCCUCUGACGUUAGCGGCGGACGGGUGAGUAACACGUGGAUAACCUACCUAUAAGACUGGGAUAACUUCGGGAAACCGGAGCUAAUACCGGAUAAUAUAUUGAACCGCAUGGUUCAAUAGUGAAAGACGGUUUUGCUGUCACUUAUAGAUGGAUCCGCGCCGCAUUAGCUAGUUGGUAAGGUAACGGCUUACCAAGGCAACGAUGCGUAGCCGACCUGAGAGGGUGAUCGGCCACACUGGAACUGAGACACGGUCCAGACUCCUACGGGAGGCAGCAGUAGGGAAUCGUCCGCAAUGGGCGAAAGCUUGACGGAGCAACGCCGCGUGAGUGAUGAAGGUCUUCGGAUCGUAAAACUCUGUUAUUAGGGAAGAACAAAUGUGUAAGUAACUAUGCACGUCUUGACGGUACCUAAUCAGAAAGCCACGGCUAACUACGUG